UACGAGAGGUACAAGCGUUACCCGGAAUCAUUGGGCGUAAAGCGUCCGCAGGUGGUUUGUUAAGUUAAGUAUUAAAUCUUGAAGCCCAACUUCAAGUUGGUACUUAAAACUGGCUCACUUGAACCUUUCAAAAGUACGUGGAAUUCUGUGUGUAGGGGUAAAAUCCGUAGAUAUACAGAAGAACACCAAAAGCGAAGGCAGCGUACUGGGAAAGUGUUGACACUCAUGGACGAAAGCGUGGGGAGCAAACAGG
This 253-nucleotide ribosomal RNA is filed under the name uncultured bacterium. RNAcentral's name for it is "partial 16S ribosomal RNA". It matches the Rfam family "Bacterial small subunit ribosomal RNA", at positions 524 to 776 of the family's 1533-position model. The record is from RNAcentral.